GAUGAACGCUGGCGGCGUGCCUAAUACAUGCAAGUCGAACGGACAGACGAGGAGCUUGCUCCUCUGACGUUAGCGGCGGACGGGAGAAUAACACGUGGAUCACCUACCUAUAAGACUGGGAUAACUUCGGGAAACCGGAGCUAAUCCCGGAUAAUAUAUUGAACCGAAUGGUUGAAUAGAGAAAGACGGUUUUCCUGUCUCUUAUAGUUGGUUCCGCGCCGGAUUAGCUAGUUGUUAAGGUAAAGGCUUAUCAAGGCAACGCUGCGUAGCCGACCUGAGAGGGGGGUAGGCCACCCUGGAACUGAGACACGGUCAAGACUCCUACGGGAGGCAGCAGUAUGGAAUCGUCCGCAAUGGGCGAAAGCCUGACGGAGCAGCGCCGCGUGAGUGAUGAAGGUCCUCGGAUCGUAAUACUCUGUUAUUAGGGAAGAACAAAUGUGGAAGUAACUGUGCACGUCUUGACGGUACCUAAUCAAAAAGCCACGGCUAACUACGUG
RNAcentral lists this ribosomal RNA (497 nucleotides) under uncultured bacterium. Its description in RNAcentral is "partial 16S ribosomal RNA". It matches the Rfam family "Bacterial small subunit ribosomal RNA", at positions 28 to 507 of the family's 1533-position model. The record is from RNAcentral.